GCCGUGCUGUGCGGUGCCGGACUGGGCUACCUCUAUCACGAACAGGUAAAAGAUGAGCUGGCAGCUGGCCGUCUGGUUCCGGUACUGGAAGCGUGGUU
Molecule: transfer RNA, 98 nt
Filed under: Pantoea ananatis
Lineage: Bacteria; Pseudomonadati; Pseudomonadota; Gammaproteobacteria; Enterobacterales; Erwiniaceae
Description: tRNA-Val
Source: RNAcentral